UCUCCGUUGGUGAACCAGCGGAGGGAUCAUUACAGAGUUUAUCCAAACUCCUAAACCCAUGUGAACAUUACCUUUUGUUGCCUCGGCAGAAGCUGCUCGGUGCACCCUACCUUGGAACGGCCUACCCUGUAGCGCCUUACCCUGGAACGGCUUACCCUGUAACGGCUGCCGGUGGACUACCAAACUCUUGUUAUUUUAUUGUAAUCUGAGCGUCUUAUUUUAAUAAGUCAAAACUUUCAACAACGGAUCUCUUGGUUCUGGCAUCGAUGAAGAACGCAGC
RNAcentral lists this unclassified non-coding RNA (280 nucleotides) under uncultured fungus. RNAcentral describes it as "sequence contains ITS1, 5.8S rRNA gene". The stretch from base 232 to 280 matches the Rfam family "5.8S ribosomal RNA", at positions 1 to 49 of the family's 154-position model. Lineage: Eukaryota; Fungi. The record is from RNAcentral.